This 307-nucleotide ribosomal RNA is filed under the name uncultured bacterium. Its description in RNAcentral is "partial 16S ribosomal RNA". It matches the Rfam family "Bacterial small subunit ribosomal RNA", at positions 506 to 807 of the family's 1533-position model. The record is from RNAcentral.
AGACAGCAGUCGCCGCGGUAAUACGGAGGGUGCAAGCGUUAAUCGGAAUUACUGGGCGUAAAGCGCACGCAGGCGGUCUGUCAAGUCGGAUGUGAAAUCCCCGGGCUCAACCUGGGAACUGCAUUCGAAACUGGCAGGCUAGAGUCUUGUAGAGGGGGGUAGAAUUCCAGGUGUAGCGGUGAAAUGCGUAGAGAUCUGGAGGAAUACCGGUGGCGAAGGCGGCCCCCUGGACAAAGACUGACGCUCAGGUGCGAAAGCGUGGGGAGCAAACAGGAUUAGAUACCCGCGUAGUCCCUGUCUCUUAUAC